This 4772-nucleotide unclassified non-coding RNA is filed under the name Hevea brasiliensis (rubber tree). The record is from RNAcentral. Lineage: Eukaryota; Viridiplantae; Streptophyta; Magnoliopsida; Malpighiales; Euphorbiaceae.
CUCUUAAUCCUUGCGAAUUUCAGUUCAUACUGUCUCCACGCAUUUACUGGUGAAAAAAAAUGUCACGGUGAAAAAGCCAAACUACUAGUGGCAGGAUGGUUCCUUUUUAAUUUAAAGUGAGCUACAAAGAAAUGAUUCCGUCCCGUUCUACUGAUCUACCCCUUAUUUUGGCUUAAGUCUCGAUUAUUCACUCGAGAGUGGCCACCUUUCUUAAUCCAUGCCUAAAUCCAAUUAGCUGUAUGAACAGGGGAAAAACCGACUAAUUUGCUGAACUAGAUAAAGAACAGGAGGAAAAUGGAUGACUGCUUGGAAAUACAACCUUGUUUUAACCGCCUCUACCAUUGUGUGGCCGCAUACCACAACCCAAUAAUAUUAAUACAUUUAUUUUAAGAUAUAUUAUGCCACCGUGAAUCCGUGAUCAAUCAGAUCCUUUAAAGAGAAUCUGUGAAUUCUAAGCAAAUCACUAUUAACUUACAUUUCCGUUUUAUACACAAACAGAAUACAUCUUCAAAAUAUGAACCAAUUGCCUUUAAAAUUGAAACAGACAGCCUUGUACAAAUAAUUUAUCAAAUAAAUAACCAGACAAAUUUUUAACAUGAAGGGUUUGGAUUUUUAUCAAUGUUGCCAGUUCUUCACCUGCUUUUUCUUUUGUUGCCUUUCUUUUGAUUCUUGAAUCUCAUGAGCUUCAUGGAAAGUGCACUUGAAGAGCUCUUGCCCUCAAGCUUCUUGGUCAUUUUCGCCACACUUGACAUACCUUUUCUAGCAGCUGCACGAUGCUCAGGUCUACGGCUCAUCAUCUUGCGAUCAAGGGGCCAAUAUGCAUAUGGUUCAAGCUUGUCUUUCCUCUUCACAUCACCACCUGCCUUCUUGCUAGCAUAUUCAUUCCCAGUGAAAGCCCACCCAGCUCCUGAUGUUUUUCUACGCUUUUGGGCUUUCCUUGAAGAGUCCAUAGAAACAUAACUACCUCCUUCACUCCUUGCAUCUGGAGUACGAUCAGAAGGCUUUUCCUUAUUUGCUUUCCCUCCUACACGUAUUAUCAAUCUGCCUUCAGAGUCUAUCUCUGGCUCAUCAUCUGAUUCUUGCUUCCGUUUGAGACUCUCCGAUGAUCGAAGAGCCGACCUUGUCUUGCGCCGAUCAAGCAAAUCAAGUGGCUCAUCUUCUAACUGCUCAAACAAGUCUUCUGGCAAGCUCUUAUCUGAUUUGUGCAUUCUCUUGGACCGUAAUGAAGAAGCUUUGGAUUUAGGCUGUAAGGAAGCCUUGCUUUUCCGACCAGAAACAGAACUUGUAUCCUUAUAUUCAUCAUCACCAUCCACUGUGUCUUCAUCACCGAAAUCAGAAAAUAUUUUUGUAUGAUUCCAUCUACUUAACCUGGAUGUAGUUGCUCUUGACAGAUGAGAUCUUGCAUCCUCAGAGUUUGCUACAGGCUUUCUCUCUUUCCGCUCCUUUAUCUUCCGGAUGUUAGUAAGAAGUCUCAUGUGUUCUUCAGGCAUCACUGCCUUGACAGCAUCCAGACCACACUUCCUGAUGAGCAUUUCUAGCAGAUGCUUAACCUUCGCUUUGAAAUUGUUUUUAGUGUCAUCCUGCCACUUCAGCAAGCCUUCCACUAUACUCCCCAAGUGGAUCUGCAGUCCCUCGGACUGUGAUUUUGCCACCAGUACCUUUAACAAACCUAAAUUAGCUUUAAUGAUUUCACGGUUCUUCCUUUUAAGGAGGAGAAAUGUGGAUGGAAGUAACUUGUAAGCAGUAGAAACAAGGUCCGAAAACUCAUAAGCUAGACGAGCUAAGCCUUUUAUAGCAGCACUGACCAUAUGAGGAGUUUCUCCUGCCAAGCCUCCAGCUACCUAAGACCAAUAAAAACAAGCCAAAAAAUUUUAUAUACAAAAGAGGGACAGUAGACAAUGUGAUUGAGAAGAUAAAAUGUGGAUCAUUAUAAAUAUUCAUAAGAUCUUGUCAGAACUUCUGAUGUAUGAGGCAAUGAUAAGAGCUUUAAUUGAUCCAAUAAUAGUUAUCUUGAAAGAAAAGUUAAACCAGAUAAGCACCAUGUUGAAAAAUUGAUACAAGUUUUCCCUGUUUCCGCCGUUCUCUUCAUCUCCACAAGCAUGACCAAUUUGGACAAGCACAUCAUAAGCUGUAUUUCUGGUCUUUUUGUUAGCCUCUUUCAGAGCAAGAAUUAUUUCAGUAAGGAAAGAACUAAGGAUGCCACGCCGCCUCUGCUCUGAAUCUCCCUUGGAAACAUGGACUAUCAGAAAGUGCAAACAAUCAAGUCUGUGUCGUUUGGCAGAGAAAUGACAGCAAGGAAGGACAUCAAUCAUGAGUUGAAGCAGCUCCUCUAGCUCUGAUGAAAGAAACCCAUCACAUUUCCGAAUAAUAAUUGAAAGGACUUUAUAUGCUUUCUUUUGGAUCAAACCCUCAGCAUCCUGUAAUGCAGGCUUUACAGCACUAAACAGAACACCAAUCUCUUGUCCAUCCAAGCCAGGCAAAAGGGAAACAGCCAAAUCAAAUAGCUGUGCCCUCUCAAGUGAUGGAGGCUUUUCAUUUGACGAAACAUCAAUCCGCGCAGAAUUAGAAUUCCCAGAAGCUUCAGCAUUUGUAGCCUUUUGUGUAACCUCCAAAAGCUUUCGCAUUGUCUUUAAGAAAAUCCUUUUAACUACAGCUUUAUCAGCUAUUGAAGCAAACUCACUAAUUAUAGACUGCAAACAACCACCAUCAUCUUUUGAAGAUUCCAAGAGGACCCCCGACAAAACAGUCAAAAAAUCACGGGCAGAUGACCUUAGCACACUCAAAUUAUCUGCUGCAACUUGUGGGCUAUAGUGGGUCAUAGCUCGCUGUCUGGCAAUGCCAACUUCAGUAACAUUCAGAUCAUCAUUUCCUUCAACAAUUCUUUUAUUUUGUUGAAUUAAAUUCUGCAGAGCAGUGCAUAAUAUUCCGCGAAUAUCACAUUCUUCACGAAGAGCACUACACAAAGCUUUCUCUAGAUCCUUGAAACUUUCUGCAGUAUCCAAUGGAUAAUUGCAAAAGGAAGGUAAUAAUGACCACAGAGAGUAUAAAAGUGCAUCAGCACUCCUUGCUGAGACAAUCCGUCCUUCUAGCUCAAAUUUUUGGGAUUUCUGUUUUAUCAGACCAACCACACCCAAAAUGGUCUCUGUAAAGAAGCUUAAAUGGGCACCAACUGUGUACUGCUUCAAAAUGGGAAACAGCCAAACAUUAACCUCAGACAAGUCAUCAGCCUCUAAUUUAAGAGGUAGGAGACUUAGAAAUGUUUCAGGGCCCAUUGCACCAAGAGCAGAUCCUAGGCAUUCAUGCAACUGUUUUCUAUAAGGAAAAUCUUCAUCUGACAAUCCCUGCAUAUCUGCCAAGUUCUUAAGGGUAUCUUUCAUAAAAUAUGAAGAAUAGUUGCCUAAUUUAUCAAACAUUGCUGAAAGAACUUGAAAUACCAUAUCCCAGACUGCACUGUAAUGAUAAUCAAGCAAACUCUCAAUAGUUGCACACACUUUUUCAAUAACUGUCGGACCAGACUUUCUGCCUUCUACAUUUUUAUUUGUCUUAAUCUGAUCUACUCCCUGCUUGAUCAAAACUUCAUCAAUGCAAUUAGUUAUCAAACUCUUCAAUGCCUCCGUUGCUGCAAAGAUGGCCUCCUCAUGUUCAGAGGCCAAAAUAUCUUUCAGGGUACUAAAUAUAAGCGGUAGCUUAACCACACAAAUUUGUCUAUUUAAGGAAUAAACUUUUCUCAUCCCUGAAUCCAGUAAACGAGCAGUGAAAGUCAAGUUAUCCACAGAAGUCUCAUUCGCAGAGGCAGAAAGAGCUAAUGAGCAUAACAAGUCCAGCAAUGCUUCAGAUGAAACAUCAGAAGUCAUGUGUAAACAAAUUACAUUCAAACUAUCAGUUAUGCGCCUUGUAACAACUGGCUGGCGCAGCUCAAGGAGGGUUUUAUAGUACUUAAGGAUGGUGGUUUUACACUUCAUAGAUAUAAGAGGAAGACAUUCUUUAAGAGUAUCCAGAAUAUAGAGGACCUCCUGCGCUCCUCUGGGCCCUUCAGUCUCAUUGGUGUUUGAUCCACCAGCAAGAAGAAGAAACCUUUCCAAUGUAUUAGUAAUCCCUUCACUUGCAGGAAUUAGUGCUGGUGUUCCUUGAAAACCUUGUAGUACAUCGCGAGAACAAGUGUUUGCCUGUUUUCUCACCUUUGGACGCGAAUCGAUUAUAAACCUCAAUAAAACAGCAUAUAAUUGAGAAAUAUCACUCCAAUUGACUGUGUCUUUAAUAAUCAACAUAUGCGCUAUACAUUUCAAUCCCGAAGUCACAGCACCAACCGUCAGCGAAUUCAACCUUAAAACCCUAAAUAAGAUCUCCGAUACGACUUCUCUCUUUUUCUUCAGUAUCGCAGUUGAAAUUCUGGGAAGAACGAGAGAGAGAAUGGUCAUGAGAGCAUCGAUUACAUAAGAAGGAGGGUCGGGGUCCAAGGAAAGGCGGUCAAGGGAGGAGCAUGCGGCGCCGAAGUAAGCAAUUGGAGUGGACUGGAGGUUCUGUUCCUUGAGCUCCUGGGACAUGGCGCCAAUGACUGCGCAGAGGUGCUGGUGGUCCUCUUGUAUGGAGGUGGAGAAACGCGAGAGAAUUGAAUCACAGAAAUCGUCGGUUGUAGGGAUGAUGGGACCCUCCAUUUCGAUGCCUUCCAUUGUAGGUCGUGGUGGAGACGAAAUUAGGAGCUACAGUUGCAGAGAUCUUAAAACCCUAUCUAUGCUAGGGUUUAAAAGGAGGGUGGGAAAUUUCGGGCUUGG